UCAUAAAAUUCGUCAACAGCAUCGGGAAAUUCCACCUCCGUUACGCCUUCCUCUCCGCCAAAGCCGAAGAGAUCAUCGAUUACCCAUCUCUGAAGAAGCCGAAGCGUUACAGGAAUUUGCAAAGAUGAGGCUUAUUCAUCGGUUACCCUUCCUCGUCGAAGCCGAAGUGUUACAGAAAUUUGCACAGAUUACUAUUUCUUCAGAAUUUCCGCAUUCAUCUCCAAAGAUUUCUGCAUUUGGGCAUUCAGUAAGUUUCAAGCGACAAGGGUUUAAAUAUUCCAACAGCAGCUGGAACGACAUUAGAAAGUGGUUGAAAUAAACAAGGGGAGCAAGGUUAAGUAUGAGUUGGAUAAAGCAAGUGGUCUUAUCAAGAUGAUGAUGAAGAUUAGCAUUUAUCCUGAGUUCUUUUGUUGCAUUUCCUGCCCAGCUUCAUUGCUUCAUCCGUGUAAAGUUGCUUUCCUCUGCAGGGGUGUUGAAAUUCCACCAGGGUUGUCAUCAUUUGUGUGUAGGCGAGUGUAUGACAUUGCAAACAAGUGUUUAUGGUGGUUAACAUACAAGUAUUAUAUCAACGAGCAACAUGAAGAAGUAGAUCAUUUAUUGGACAAGACCCGACUAGAAAUGCAUGCAGCAGUGCAAUCAGGAGAUUGUUCUCCAAAACCAUUGAAUGGUCCAACAUCAACUCAGAAGUUAAAAUUAGAUACUCAGAGUCGGCAGAAUAGUAGCAUUUCCUUCCCUGCACAGGUUAAGGAAAAGAAGAGGAAGAGAGGGGUGAUGAGGGAACAAAACCUAUUAAGCGAGAAGGUCCUACUAAGCUGGAGGAUGGUGAAUCUGACAGUUCUAGACUCAACAAAAUGGCAAAAUCUGAGAUUGUAAAAAUAGCAGAAAAAGGGUCGCUAAUAACAACAGAAGGUGUUGACAAACUGGUGCAUUUGAUGCAACUAGAUAAGAAUGAGAAAAAUUUAUUUGUCUGAUAGGAUAUUGUUUGCAUAUGUUGGAUGAUUGUGAAAAAAUAUGCUUCCAGAAGUUGCAUUGGAUAAUUUUUUCCC
Molecule: long non-coding RNA, 1046 nt
Organism: Asparagus officinalis (garden asparagus)
Lineage: Eukaryota; Viridiplantae; Streptophyta; Magnoliopsida; Asparagales; Asparagaceae
Exons: 5
Source: RefSeq, a predicted model, not a curated record